This 571-nucleotide long non-coding RNA is filed under the name Homo sapiens (human). RNAcentral's name for it is "HSALNT0397476". The record is from RNAcentral. Lineage: Eukaryota; Metazoa; Chordata; Mammalia; Primates; Hominidae.
CAGGCACCCACCACCACACCUGGCUGAUUUUUGUAUUUUUAGUAGAGACAGGAUUUCACCAUGUUGGCCAGGCUGGUCUCGAACUCCUGGCCUCAGGUGAUCCGCCUGCCUUGGCCUCACAAAGUGCUGGGAUUACAGGCAUCAGCCUCUGUGCCCAGCCCCAGCCUUCUUUGCUUAUUUAACAACAAAACGUCGAAGCAAUUCUUAUCUUAGUUGCUGACCCUUGAUCUAGCAUGCAGUGAUGUUAAGUCUAAUGCCAAUUUGAUUUUUUCUUUUCAUUGUAGAUUACCUGUUUCUUCCUCUGUGGAAACAGCAUAUUAUCCUUUCUGUUAAGAAAUGUUAUGACUUCUCAAGAGUGUGGGUCUUUUUGUUUCACUCCAGUAUUAUGCUGGGCAGUUGUUAGGCCCUUUUGAUUUAAUGGUUUGUGUCUUCCCUUUAGCUUGGGUAAUUUUUUUCAUACCAUCCUCCCUGUACUUUCACUAGAAGUCUCUUUUACUCAGAUAUAAGAGCUGCCCAUUCGGCCGGGCAUGGUGGCUGACACCUGUAAUCCCAGCACUUUGGGAGGCUGAGG